UACGGGGGGGUAAGCGUUGUUCGGAAUUACUGGGCGUAAAGGGCUCGUAGGCGGCCAACUAAGUCAUACGUGAAAUCCCUCAGCUUAACUGGGGAACUGCGUGUGAUACUGGAUGGCUUGGAUUUGGGAGAGGGAUGCGGAAUUCCAGGUGUAGCGGUGAAAUGCGUAGAUAUCAGGAGGAACACCAAUGGCGAAGGCAGCUCGCUGGGACGGUACUGACGCUGAGGCGCGAAAGCGUGGGGAGCAAACAGG
Molecule: ribosomal RNA, 252 nt
Filed under: uncultured bacterium
Lineage: Bacteria
Description: partial 16S ribosomal RNA
Rfam family: Bacterial small subunit ribosomal RNA
Source: RNAcentral